Molecule: ribosomal RNA, 492 nt
Filed under: uncultured bacterium
Lineage: Bacteria
Description: partial 16S ribosomal RNA
Rfam family: Bacterial small subunit ribosomal RNA
Source: RNAcentral
AGUGAACGCUGGCGGUAGGCCUAACACAUGCAAGUCGAACGGCAGCACAGUAAGAGCUUGCUCUUACGGGUGGCGAGUGGCGGACGGGUGAGGAAUACAUCGGAAUCUACUUUUUCGUGGGGGAUAACGUAGGGAAACUUACGCUAAUACCGCAUACGACCUACGGGUGAAAGCAGGGGAUCUUCGGACCUUGCGCGAUUGAAUGAGCCGAUGUCGGAUUAGCUAGUUGGCGGGGUAAAGGCCCACCAAGGCGACGAUCCGUAGCUGGUCUGAGAGGAUGAUCAGCCACACUGGAGCUGAGACACGGUCCAGACUCCUACGGGAGGCAGCAAUGGGGAAUAUUGGACAAUGGGCGCAAGCCUGAUCCAGCCAUACCGCGUGGGUGAAGAAGGCCUUCGGGUUGUAAAGCCCUUUUGUUGGGAAAGAAAAGCAGCAGGUUAAUACCCCGCUGUUCUGACGGUACCCAAAGAAUAAGCACCGGCUAACUUCGUG